RNAcentral lists this ribosomal RNA (254 nucleotides) under uncultured bacterium. RNAcentral describes it as "partial 16S ribosomal RNA". It matches the Rfam family "Bacterial small subunit ribosomal RNA", at positions 524 to 776 of the family's 1533-position model. The record is from RNAcentral.
CACGUAGGGUGCGAGCGUUGUCCGGAAUUAUUGGGCGUAAAGAGCUCGUAGGCGGUGUGUCGCGUCGGCCGUGAAAACCUGCAGCUUAACUGUGGGCUUGCGGUCGAUACGGGCAUCACUGGAGUUCGGCAGGGGAGACUGGAAUUCCUGGUGUAGCGGUGAAAUGCGCAGAUAUCAGGAGGAACACCGAUGGCGAAGGCAGUUCUCUGGGCCGUAACUGACGCUGAGGAGCGAAAGCCAGGGGAGCGAACGGG